CUAAGGGAACAGAGGCAAAGGGGUCCCAGUGGAAAAUUCUGUAAGGACAUUAGAGAACUGUAAAUACUGGUGAUUAGUGUCAUAAACUGGCUUUGCUUGCAGAGCACGGUCGACAUCCCUCAAUCGCUGCAAUCUUCGGGAAACAAUUCCUUCCAAAAGCAAGUGGGAACUCAAAGCUAACACAGAGGAACCCACCCAGAGUCCCAGGCCGCAGAAGACACUGAGUUUAUGUUGUGUGCUCGUAGCAUGUGCACUUUCUCUCAUUUGUGCAGACACUGAUGCUUCCUAA
RNAcentral lists this long non-coding RNA (289 nucleotides) under Zonotrichia albicollis (white-throated sparrow). Its description in RNAcentral is "lncRNA (ENSZALG00000000800.1)". Lineage: Eukaryota; Metazoa; Chordata; Aves; Passeriformes; Passerellidae. The record is from RNAcentral.